RNAcentral lists this ribosomal RNA (126 nucleotides) under Pterengraulis atherinoides (wingfin anchovy). RNAcentral's name for it is "partial 16S ribosomal RNA". The record is from RNAcentral. Lineage: Eukaryota; Metazoa; Chordata; Actinopteri; Clupeiformes; Engraulidae.
GCCACAAAGCUAGCUCAAAUCCUACAGCAAAAUCCACAACCUAAAUACCUACUAAAAUAUGAAAAAUAAUAAACCAAAUCAUUUGACCUUCCCAGUAUGGGUGACAAAAAAGAAUCCACUGAAGCA